This 497-nucleotide ribosomal RNA is filed under the name uncultured bacterium. RNAcentral describes it as "partial 16S ribosomal RNA". It matches the Rfam family "Bacterial small subunit ribosomal RNA", at positions 28 to 507 of the family's 1533-position model. The record is from RNAcentral.
GAUGACCGCUGGCGGCGUGCUUAAUACAUGCAAGUCGCGCGAACAGGUGAGGAGUUUGUUUGGUUGACGAUUGGGGCGCACGGGAGUGUCACGAGUGGAUCCCCUCCCUUUAUGUCUGGUAAACUUCGGGCACGCGGGCGCAAACCCGGGAGGAUUUCUUGCUGCGUAUGGUUCAUUCGUAAGUGACGGUUUUUCUGUCUGUACUCGAGGGUUAUGCGCUGCAUUAGCUAGUUGGUAAGGUACCGGGUUACCAAGGGUACGAUGCGUGACCGAGCUGAGAGGGUGGUCGGCCACAGUGGAACUGAGACACGGUCCAGCGUCCUACGGGAGGCAGCAGUAGGGAAUCGUCGGCAAUGGGCGAAAGCCUGGCGGAGCAACGCCGCGUGGGUGAUGAAGGUCUUCGGAUCGUAAAACUCUGUUAUUAGGGAAGAACAAAUGUGGAAGUAACUAUGCACGUCGUGACGGUACCUAAUCAGAAAGCCACGGCUAACUACGGG